This 806-nucleotide long non-coding RNA is filed under the name Ananas comosus (pineapple). RNAcentral describes it as "long non-coding RNA (ACOM_LNC033836)". The record is from RNAcentral. Lineage: Eukaryota; Viridiplantae; Streptophyta; Magnoliopsida; Poales; Bromeliaceae.
AUUAAUCGUGAAAAUAAAUUAGGGAAAACUUCAAAAAUCUCCCAUGUGGUUUCACUUUUUUUCACUUUAGUAUCCUGUGGUUUAAAAUGUAUCAAAUCAGUAUCCUGUGGUUUUUCACUUUAUCACUUUAGUACCAUGUGAUUUAAAAUGUACCAAGUUAGUACCCUGUGGUUUUGCAUUUUAUCACUUUAGUACCCUGUGAUUUAUAUAAACCAUAGGGUACCAAAGUGAUAAAGUGUAAAAUCAUAGGGUACUAAAGUGAUAAAGUGAGAAAUCAUAGGGUACUAACUUGAUACAUUUUAAACCACAGGAUACUAAAGUAAAAAAAAGUGAAACCACAGGAUACUAAAGUGAAAAAAAGUGAAACCACAUGGUACUAACUUGAUGCAUUUCAAACCAUAGGAUACUAAAAUGAAAAAGUAUGAAACCACAGGGGGGGUUUUUGAAGUUUUUCCAAUAAACUAAUAGAAAAAAAUAAUAAAAAAACUUAAAAUUUAAAUUUGCCUGCUUUUGUGUUAAUGUAAAAAUUUUUAGUGAACCUCCAAAGCCAUGAACUUGAAAAGUAGUUUCAACCUUAAAUCUAUCAUGGAUAAAUAAACAAGCUGGUUGUUGAUUUUUCUUUUAUCAGAGAAAAUUGAUUGGGUAUUUGACGUAUUUAAAUUUUGAAGUCAAAAUAUUAUUGCCUAACUUAAAUUAAACAAAUAGAAAAAUUAUAUAGUAAAAUUAAAGUUUGAAAGGUUGUAUAGCUGAUCAAAAUAAUCUAUAGUUCAAAUAAAUUAUGUACGUUCUAAUCUUCAAAAACAGUA